RNAcentral lists this ribosomal RNA (1272 nucleotides) under Arthrobacter sp. RNAcentral describes it as "bacterial SSU rRNA". It matches the Rfam family "Bacterial small subunit ribosomal RNA", at positions 73 to 1355 of the family's 1533-position model. Lineage: Bacteria; Bacillati; Actinomycetota; Actinomycetes; Micrococcales; Micrococcaceae. The record is from RNAcentral.
CUCCAGCUUGCUGGGGGGAUUAGUGGCGAACGGGUGAGUAACACGUGAGUAACCUGCCCUUGACUCUGGGAUAAGCCUGGGAAACUGGGUCUAAUACCGGAUACGACCGUCCCGCGCAUGCGGUGGUGGUGGAAAGCUUUUGCGGUUUUGGAUGGACUCGCGGCCUAUCAGCUUGUUGGUGGGGUAAUGGCCUACCAAGGCGACGACGGGUAGCCGGCCUGAGAGGGUGACCGGCCACACUGGGACUGAGACACGGCCCAGACUCCUACGGGAGGCAGCAGUGGGGAAUAUUGCACAAUGGGCGAAAGCCUGAUGCAGCGACGCCGCGUGAGGGAUGACGGCCUUCGGGUUGUAAACCUCUUUCAGUAGGGAAGAAGCGAAAGUGACGGUACCUGCAGAAGAAGCGCCGGCUAACUACGUGCCAGCAGCCGCGGUAAUACGUAGGGCGCAAGCGUUAUCCGGAAUUAUUGGGCGUAAAGAGCUCGUAGGCGGUUUGUCGCGUCUGCUGUGAAAGACCGGGGCUCAACUCCGGUUCUGCAGUGGGUACGGGCAGACUAGAGUGAUGUAGGGGAGACUGGAAUUCCUGGUGUAGCGGUGAAAUGCGCAGAUAUCAGGAGGAACACCGAUGGCGAAGGCAGGUCUCUGGGCAUUAACUGACGCUGAGGAGCGAAAGCAUGGGGAGCGAACAGGAUUAGAUACCCUGGUAGUCCAUGCCGUAAACGUUGGGCACUAGGUGUGGGGGACAUUCCACGUUUUCCGCGCCGUAGCUAACGCAUUAAGUGCCCCGCCUGGGGAGUACGGCCGCAAGGCUAAAACUCAAAGGAAUUGACGGGNGGCCCGCACAAGCGGCGGAGCAUGCGGAUUAAUUCGAUGCAACGCGAAGAACCUUACCAAGGCUUGACAUGAACCGGUAACGCCUGGAAACAGGUGCCCCGCUUGCGGUCGGUUUACAGGUGGUGCAUGGUUGUCGUCAGCUCGUGUCGUGAGAUGUUGNGGUUAAGUCCCGCAACGAGCGCAACCCUCGUUCUAUGUUGCCAGCGCGUGAUGGCGGGGACUCAUAGGAGACUGCCGGGGUCAACUCGGAGGAAGGUGGGGACGACGUCAAAUCAUCAUGCCCCUUAUGUCUUGGGCUUCACGCAUGCUACAAUGGCCGGUACAAAGGGUUGCGAUACUGUGAGGUGGAGCUAAUCCCAAAAAGCCGGUCUCAGUUCGGAUUGGGGUCUGCAACUCGACCCCAUGAAGUCGGAGUCGCUAGUAAUCGCAGAUCAGCAA